ACGGAGGGUCCGAGCGUUAAUCGGAAUUACUGGGCGUAAAGCGUGCGCAGGCGGUUAUUUAAGCCAGAUGUGAAAGCCCCGGGCUCAACCUGGGAAUUGCAUUUGGAACUGGGUAACUAGAGUCUUGUAGAGGGAGGUAGAAUUUCAGGUGUAGCGGUGAAAUGCGUAGAUAUCUGAAGGAAUACCGGUGGCGAAGGCGGCCUCCUGGACAAAGACUGACGCUCAUGCACGAAAGCGUGGGGAGCAAACAGG
RNAcentral lists this ribosomal RNA (252 nucleotides) under uncultured bacterium. RNAcentral's name for it is "partial 16S ribosomal RNA". It matches the Rfam family "Bacterial small subunit ribosomal RNA", at positions 525 to 776 of the family's 1533-position model. The record is from RNAcentral.